GAUGAAGAACGUAGUGAAAUGCGAUACGUAAUGUGAAUUGCAGAAUUCAGUGAAUCAUCGAAUCUUUGAACGCACAUUGCGCCCAUUAGCAUUCUAGUGGGCAUGCCUGUUCGAGCGUCAUUUCAACCCUUAAGCCCUGUUGCUUAGCGUUGGGAGCCUACAGUACUGUAGCUCCCCAAAGUUAGUGGCGGAGUCGGUUUCACACUCUAGACGUAGUAAUUUUUUCUCGUCUGUAGUUGAGCCGGUCCCCUGCCGUAAAACACCCAAUUUAUCAAGGUUGACCUCGGAUCAGGUAGGAAUACCCGCUGAACUUAAGCAUAUCAAUAAGCGGAGGA
This 335-nucleotide unclassified non-coding RNA is filed under the name soil metagenome. RNAcentral's name for it is "partial contains 5.8S ribosomal RNA, internal transcribed spacer 2, and large subunit ribosomal RNA". The stretch from base 1 to 120 matches the Rfam family "5.8S ribosomal RNA", at positions 35 to 154 of the family's 154-position model. The record is from RNAcentral.